RNAcentral lists this unclassified non-coding RNA (243 nucleotides) under Ascomycota sp. RNAcentral's name for it is "partial contains small subunit ribosomal RNA, internal transcribed spacer 1, and 5.8S ribosomal RNA". The stretch from base 1 to 47 matches the Rfam family "Eukaryotic small subunit ribosomal RNA", at positions 1785 to 1831 of the family's 1831-position model. Lineage: Eukaryota; Fungi; Ascomycota. The record is from RNAcentral.
AAAGUCGUAACAAGGUUUCCGUAGGUGAACCUGCGGAAGGAUCAUUAACGAGCGCUCGUGCCCCUCGGGGCCGAACCUCCCACCCUGUGCGUACCGACCCAUGUUGCUUUGGCAGGCCCGCCCUCCGGGGCCGCUGGCGCGCUGGCCCGCGCCUGCCAGAGGUAUUUCGAACACUGUUAUCAUAUGUUGUCCGAGUCUAUUGCAUAAUCGUUAAAACUUUCAACAACGGAUCUCUUGGUUCUG